CCCUUAGAUGUUCUGGGCCGCACGCGCGCUACACUGACGAAUGCAACGAGCUUAUAACCUUGGCCGAAAGGUCUGGGUAAUCUCCAAAUUUCGUCGUGAUGGGGAUAGAUUAUUGCAAUUAUUAAUCUUCAACGAGGAAUGCCUAGUAAGCGCAAGUCAUCAGCUUGCGUUGAUUACGUCCCUGCCCUUUGUACACACCGCCCGUCGCUCCUACCGAUUGAAUGGUCCGGUGAAGCGUUCGGACCGUGGCCUUUGGACGGUUCGCCGUCUGUUGGCUGCGGGAAGUUCGUCAAACCUUAUCAUUUAGAGGAAGGAGAAGUCGUANCA
RNAcentral lists this ribosomal RNA (327 nucleotides) under uncultured eukaryote. Its description in RNAcentral is "partial 18S ribosomal RNA". It matches the Rfam family "Eukaryotic small subunit ribosomal RNA", at positions 1470 to 1796 of the family's 1831-position model. The record is from RNAcentral.